Populus nigra (black poplar) is the source of this 2391-nucleotide long non-coding RNA. RefSeq lists it as uncharacterized. Lineage: Eukaryota; Viridiplantae; Streptophyta; Magnoliopsida; Malpighiales; Salicaceae. The record is from RefSeq and is a predicted model, not a curated record. The transcript is spliced from 3 exons.
CUGCUAAUGCCUGGAAAAUAAUUGCUUGUUUUGUAGCAUUUGAUGCUGCACUUCAGCCUCUUUUACCUGGAAAAACGGUUGAGGGUCCUAUUUCUCCCGAAGGGAACCGACCCGUUUACAAGCAUACAUGGUGACAUUGGUUGCAUAUCUUAGCCUUUGGUGGUGAGAACUUUCUCUGUGACAUUCUUAUGUUUGCACUCCAUCUAGUUUGACACCCGCUCAUCGGAAGGCUUGUGGUUGGUAAAAAGUUACUUUAGAUCCAGCAAAGCAGUGUACACGGUGACAUUCUGCUUCUGAUGGUAAAAAAAAAAAAAAAUCAAUUUAGCCCAAGUGACACAUGAUUGUAAAGUGUAACUAAUACUCUCCUGUGUUUAUUUCAGGUUUGGUAUAUUCAACCCUGCAGUUGUCUAUGAUCAUUUGGGUGAAAUAUUUUCUGCUCUCAUUCUUGCAAGCUUUAACUUCUGUUUUUUCUUAUACGUAAAACUAAGAAUUUAUAACUAGGCAACUUGUUUGCGUUCUCAUUUAUUUUGCUAUACCUCUUACCAAAAUGUUUUCGUGUCUGCAAGGGUCAUUUGGCGCCAUCAUCUACUGAUUCUGGUUCAUCUGGGAACAUAAUAAUCGACUUAUAUUGGGGGAGUUCAGAACUUUAACGUUAUCUUCAUUUUACUCAUGUGAUUAUUGUUGCUGUUUGUCAUUAAGCAAUCUAAAUGAUAGGGGAAUAGGGAGAUUGAGCCAGGUAUAUAACUAAGAGGAACGAGCUUAAAUCAGAAAAAAAGCAAUCCUUUGGCCAGGAUCUAACUCAAAUUUAAGCUUCUUCUUUUGAAAUCUGUGAACCAAGCUGAAAAGUUUUUUCAAUACUUUGGACAUCUGAUGGUUUUGAUAAACAAUAAAUUGAAGUACUAUCAUUUUGCCUUUCCUUUUUUCACAUGUCUCCUCUUCUAUUUCAGGGUGUGGAGCUGUAUCCUCGAAUUGGAAAAAAUCUUGGCAUCAAAGUUUUCACAAACUGCAGAUUUGGGAUGAUGGCUUGUGCCAUUCUGGCAUUAACCUAUUGCAUUAAGCAGGUAAAUGCUGGUAGUCAUUUCCUGGUGAGAAUUAACAAUACUUGUCUUGUAAACAUACUGAAUCUAAGAUGAUACAAGCUAUUCAGUGAGAGGUUAAAAACCCUUGUUUGUUUGGCUGAUAAAGGCAUCACUUAGCCCAUGCAGAACUAGCCCUACAUGUCAACAAUGCCAUCUGUUCAUCAUUUCAUCAUUUAGGUACCCCUGCAAUAUGUUAUUUUCCAACUUAGUUCCACUCGUGGUCUUCCUCAUCUCCGAGGUUUUUUUUACCUUGUACCUGCAACACGUGUAAUUCCACUUGGAUUUUUUUACAAGUUUUACAUGUAUACGAUCGCAAGAUUACGAGCCUUCAAAUCCAGUUCUUUUGUAUUGUAUCAUUAUGAGCAGAAUGGGGAAGUAGCUGAUUCCUUGCUUAUACACACAAUAUUGGUGCUAUUGCACAUCACAAAGUUUUAGUUGGGAAGAUGGGUACAUGAGUGCCAUGGACAUUGCUCAUGAUCGAGGUUUAUCUAUUCUACUUGCGUAUAUUUUCCAAUUGUCCUUUUAAUUUUGAGUUGCAAGUUGUCAUCAACUGGAUUGCUAUCGAUUAUCUAUGAAGAAAAAUACUAGCCUUGAUGCUGUAAAAGGGGUUAUCAUUUUCUCCAAGAAUCCCUUUUUUUUUUCCAUGCGUAACAUCUUAUGCUUACUACUUUUGGAUUCGGCCGCUGGAAUUUAUCUUUCUUGGGGCUUCUUGGUAUGGCUUCCAUGUGUCUAUAGUUCUCCUGGCAUGUACCUUGUUAACCAUCCUGUGAACCUCGGAAUUCAGGUAUAUCAUCCUAGUCCUGCGAGUCUUGAAGAAAAAUCAUUUUACCUAAUGCCCUUUAUCACUUGAGUUAUUAACCAUCUCCCUCCUGUUUUCAGGCAUUGUCUGCUUAUAUAUCCCUUACGAUUGUGACAGGCAAAAGCAAGAAUUUCGCAGAGCUAAUGGCAAGUGUUUGAUUUGGGGAAAGGCUCCAUCAAAGGUUUGGGAGCGGGGGGUUUAGCACGGAGGAGAAGAUUGGUAGGGCAAUUUAGCUUUCUGGGCAGCAAGUUGAAAGGGAAAUGACUCCGCUUUAUGAGACACUGAUGCGCUGCAAAUAUGACCGUACAUGAAGAAAGCACGGCAGCUGGUUAUAUGAAUUUUCUGCAUGUAGCUCGUUGGGCUCUAGGAGAACAAAUGAGAUAUCAGAAUGAUGCUGUUGGUUUUGGUUUGGGAAGCGGUGCCACUGCAACAGCUGAUUUUGUGGUUAUUGUUGUAAUUUUAAAAAAAUUAUUUUAUAAAAAUUAUUUUUAGUUAAAGCUAAUUUGAUAUUUA